UUAAGGCAUGAUAAUUUAACAACUUGCAUAUUUGGAGGAUUUGAAGACUUUAACUUGCAGACUUGACAAAUUUGAAGACUUUAACU
Solanum tuberosum (potato) is the source of this 86-nucleotide non-coding RNA. The record is from Rfam. Lineage: Eukaryota; Viridiplantae; Streptophyta; Magnoliopsida; Solanales; Solanaceae.